GGCGGCGUGCUAUACUGCAAGUCGAGCGGACAGAAGGGAGCUUGCUCCCGGAUGUAGCGGCGGACGGGUGAGUAACACGUGGGUAACUGCCUGUAAGACUGGGAUAACUCCGGGAAACCGGAGCUAAUACCGGAUAGUUCCUUGAACCGCAUGGUUCAAGGAUGAAAGACGGUUUCGGCUGUCACUUACAGAUGGACCGCGGCGCAUAGCUAGUUGGUGAGGUAACGGCUCACCAAGGCGACGAUGCGUAGCCGACCUGAGAGGGUGAUCGGCCACACUGGGACUGAGACACGGCCCAGACUCCUACGGGAGGCAGCAGUAGGGAAUCUUCCGCAAUGGACGAAAGUCUGACGGAGCAACGCCGCGUGAGUGAUGAAGGUUUCGGAUCGUAAAGCUCUGUUGUUAGGGAAGAACAAGUGCAAGAGUAACUGCUUGCACCUUGACGGUACCUAACCAGAAAGCCACGGCUAACUACGUGCCAGCAGCCGCGGUAAUACGUAGGUGGCAGCGUUGUCCGGAAUUAUUGGGCGUAAAGGGCUCGCAGGCGGUUUCUUAAGUCUGAUGUGAAAGCCCCCGGCUCAACCGGGGAGGGUCAUUGGAAACUGGGAAACUUGAGUGCAGAAGAGGAGAGUGGAAUUCCACGUGUAGCGGUGAAAUGCGUAGAGAUGUGGAGGAACACCAGUGGCGAAGGCGACUCUCUGGUCUGUAACUGACGCUGAGGAGCGAAAGCGUGGGGAGCGAACAGGAUUAGAUACCCUGGUAGUCCACGCCGUAAACGAUGAGUGCUAAGUGUUAGGGGGUUUCCGCCCCUUAGUGCUGCAGCUAACGCAUUAAGCACUCCGCCUGGGGAGUACGGUCGCAAGACUGAAACUCAAAGGAAUUGACGGGGGCCCGCACAAGCGGUGGAGCAUGUGGUUUAAUUCGAAGCAACGCGAAGAACCUUACCAGGUCUUGACAUCCUCUGACAACCCUAGAGAUAGGGCUUUCCCUUCGGGGACAGAGUG
RNAcentral lists this ribosomal RNA (1004 nucleotides) under Bacillus aerius. Its description in RNAcentral is "bacterial SSU rRNA". It matches the Rfam family "Bacterial small subunit ribosomal RNA", at positions 38 to 1033 of the family's 1533-position model. The record is from RNAcentral. Lineage: Bacteria; Bacillati; Bacillota; Bacilli; Caryophanales; Bacillaceae.